Molecule: long non-coding RNA, 782 nt
Organism: Panicum virgatum (switchgrass)
Lineage: Eukaryota; Viridiplantae; Streptophyta; Magnoliopsida; Poales; Poaceae
Exons: 2
Source: RefSeq, a predicted model, not a curated record
CACUCCCCACCCAUCCACUCACCAGUUCCUCCUACCGUCCACUCCAUGCUCUUUACUCUUGCAGCUUCAGAUCUGCAGAGCAUGGAGUAGCGCUAGCCGCCGCAGCUGCAAAGACAUUUCAGCCAUCGCUGGUCGCAUUCCCCUCUCCAAGUUCCCUUCUCUUCAAUUCAAGCACUUACUGCUCAGUCGACUCCUUCCACCUACAAGCUAGCCAGCGCCGCUGUGUCGCCAUGAGCCCCAUCAUCACGAUGCUCCUCGUCCUCAUCGGGGUCGUCGUCGGCGGCGCCGUGGUGAUGAUCUGCGUCUGGUUCGUCAAGCUGGAGCGCGAAGUGCUGGCAGGAGUCGAUGCACUAGCAGCACUUGCUGCAGUGGCAGCGCUGAAUGAGCUGGCGGCAGCAGCAGGCAGGUCCCAGCUGGAGCCGGAGGAGCCGACGGCGACGCGCCGCCGGCGCCAUGCAUGAUCGAUCGUCGAGAUGGAGCUGCGGUGUGCGAUUUGCAGUUUAUUUAGACAAUUUGUUGGUGAGGUAUGGUCUCGAUCUGCUUCGAUCUGGUGUUGUGUGUAUGUGUGCUGGGGUUCGAUUUCGAUGCAAGCUAGCUAGCUCAGCUCGAUCAGCUACUUCAUCUCUCUUCUUUUUCUAGUCAGAUGCAGUGUUAUUAAUUGUUCGCUGUAUAUAUGUCUCUAGGGUCUUAGCUUGUGUGGAUCGACUAUGUGAGAAAAUGAUCCAUCAGCAUCAGGCACUGUCGUGUGUGUCGUGGAUUAAUUAUUCGAGGAUGCUAAUUCU